GAUGAACGCUGGCGGCAUGCCUAAUACAUGCAAGUCGAACGGACUAAAGAGAAAAGCUUGCUUUUUUUGGAAGUCAGUGGCGAACGGGUGAGUAACACGUAGGUAACCUGCCCAUGUGCCCGGGAUAAUUUCUGGAAACAGAUGCUAAUACCGGAUAACAACACUAGACGCAUGUCUAGAGUUUGAAAGAUGGUUCUGCUAUCACUCUUGGAUGGACCUGCGGUGCAUUAGCUAGUUGGUAAGGUAACGGCUUACCAAGGCAAUGAUGCAUAGCCGAGUUGAGAGACUGAUCGGCCACAUUGGGACUGAGACACGGCCCAA
RNAcentral lists this ribosomal RNA (321 nucleotides) under uncultured bacterium. RNAcentral's name for it is "bacterial SSU rRNA". It matches the Rfam family "Bacterial small subunit ribosomal RNA", at positions 28 to 334 of the family's 1533-position model. The record is from RNAcentral.